GAAUAUUGGCCAAUGGGCGAAAGCCUGAUCCAGCAAUGCCGCGUGAGUGAUGAAGGCCUUAGGGUUGUAAAGCUCUUUUACCCGGGAUGAUACUGACAGUACCGGGAGAAUAAGCUCCGGCUAACUCCGUGCCCGCAGCCGCGGUAAUACGGAGGGAGCUAGCGUUGUUCGGACUUACUGGGCGUAAAGCGCACGUAGGCGGCGCCGCAAGUCAGGGGUGAAAUCCCGGGGCUCAACCCCGGAACUGCCCUUGAAACUGCAGUGCUAGAAUCUUGGAGAGGCGAGUGGAAUUCCGAGUGUAGAGGUGAAAUUCGUAGAUAUUCGGAAGAACACCAGUGGCGAAGGCGACUCGCUGGACAAGUAUUGACGCUGAGGUGCGAAAGCGUGGGGAGCAAACAGG
Molecule: ribosomal RNA, 400 nt
Filed under: uncultured bacterium
Lineage: Bacteria
Description: bacterial SSU rRNA
Rfam family: Bacterial small subunit ribosomal RNA
Source: RNAcentral